UCCGGGGAUGGCGGCGUCAAGUGGGGCAGGCGCUGGUGGAGGUUGUGGAGAGGCAGGUGGCAGGGGCGCUACCGGCGGAGCUGCGGUCCCGGCCGCUGGACCCCCUCGUCGGGGCGUGACUGUCAUCCCGAAAGGCGGAGCUCAGGGUUCUGAAAACCUAAGACUGCUGCUUUUAUAACUAAAAGAACUUUGACAAGACAUCCAUACUCUGGGGAGGGUUUGGAGGAACAAUGUAAAGCACAGUCAUGCUGGCCUCUACCCCAGCCACACUGACGCUGCGCUGACAGCAAGAGGCGUGUGGGCCUGAAAUUGGACACGGACCUUGUGGAACGUUGAUGGAACAGAGGUAGCACGCCAGGAACCAGCGUCACCUCUCAGAAAAUAUAGCCCCGGAGGUUUUGAGGGGCUUUAACACAGGAAGAAAAUGGUCCCUAUCUCAGGAUAUUUUCUGCUGUGUGAGAGACCCUGCACAGGAGCCCCCAAGUCACUGCGGCAGUGAGAAAAUCCUGGGUGGAGCUGUGGAAGGGGCUCCCAGACAUCACUGGAAGAGCUUCCAAAGCUGGCCUCAUUAUGGAGGUAGAAGCGAAUGUUGCUCCAUGUUGGGGUGAGAGCAAGGGAUUCUCAGAACUCAUCUGUCCUCAUAGCGGGGAAGAAACGAGAGCUUUGUGACAGGGCGAGGGCCCAGAAGGUGUCACUGAGCCCCACCCUGUUCAGGCCCAGCUGUUUGCACAUCAGGCCAUUUCUGGGUCUGCAGCAUUUGUAUCAAAAAGCAUCAUGACAUAGGCCAGAAUUAAAAUAUCCCAUAGGGUGGUGAUAUAGAGUACAUGAGUAGCAAUCGUAGUUUACCUUUCCUCACCUUAGAAUUUACCUCAUUAGUCAAUAUCGGCUGAUUUUUUUUCAAAUGUUAUUUGAAUCACAU
Molecule: long non-coding RNA, 919 nt
Organism: Suricata suricatta (meerkat)
Lineage: Eukaryota; Metazoa; Chordata; Mammalia; Carnivora; Herpestidae
Exons: 3
Source: RefSeq, a predicted model, not a curated record